CCACUGCACUCCAGCCUGGGCAACAGAACGAGACUCUGUCUCAGAAAAAGAAAAAUAUAUAUAUAUAUGUUUAGUAAUUGUUACUAUGUUAGUGAGAUUAUUAUGAGGAAGGCUUGGUUCACCUUUCUACCUUCUGGUCCAAUCACUGGAAACGGCACUGCCUGUGCACUGGGAGACCUGGUUCUAAAUUCCAGACCAGCACUUAUUCUAUGACUUUAGGCAACUUAAGCCAGAUUGCCCACCCAUAACGUGGUUCCUGUCCUACCUGCCUCAUCAGGUUUACUUUGGAAUCCCCUUGGCCGAGAGGAGGAGUCCAUUCAGUCGAUUGGGAGGCCUAGAAUUUUAUUGUUGGCUUCUAUUACCUAUAGAGGAAAAAGGAUAAAAAUUACACUGGACUUCUCUUCAGAAACCAUGUAAGUAAGAAGAGUGUGGAAUGAAAUAAGGAAAGUGUUAAAAGAAAAAACCACCAACCUAGAAUUCUGUAUCCAGCAAAAUUGCCUUCAAACAAUAAAUUUUUUACACACAAAAAAUUUGAGAGAAUUCAUUGACCCUAGUAGAACAUUAAGAAAUGUUAAAAGAAGUUCUGCAGAGAGAAGAAAAAUGAUAUAGAAAAUCAAACUUAUGUAAAGAAAGGAAGAGUGUUUGAGAAGGAAUACAUGAAUGUAGAAUAAUCUAAUAAUCAAAAACUGGAAUCAUCAUAGAAUGUCUUCUACCAAACCAGUGUGUUUAGAAUUGCUGGUUUGGUAGCUAGUUUCUUUCCAUCAUUGUAGCUGUUUUCUAUUGCUACUGACCAAAAAAAAAAAAAAAAAAAAAAAAAAAAGAUCAAAGAAAACAAAAAUGUCAUGACAAUGAGAAAAGUGACAUAUUGUGUGAUUUGAUUUUCAUUUAAGAUCUAGUCUAGGUAAGGAUGGAGGUGAGGGGACUGAUUUCUUCCACCUACCCUGCUACCCUGUGCCUUUGAGGAACAUUUGUUGAAAUAUUCAUUGAAAUAACAAAUCAAUUUUUAUUACAUUUAUUGGAGUUGAACAAAUUAAAGGAGUUAAUUCCCCUCCCUUUGGUUGCUGUUUGCUGAAUCACUCUUUGUCAUUAAUACUGAAAAUCAAACUUAUGUAAAGAAAGGAAGAAUGUUUGAGAAUAGAAUUUUAUUUGAUUCUAUUAAUUAUUUUGUUAUUUAUUUUAUUUCUAUUUUAUUCAUAGUUUGAUGAACAGUUUUCUAAAGCAGAUAUCACCACACUAUGGCCCACACCUGUUCUUGUAAAUGAAGUUUAAUUGGAACAUAGUCAUGUUUGUUCAUUUAUAUCUUGUACUGUUUAUGAAUAGUGUAUUACUUGUUAUGUGUUGUGUCAUUGAUAGAGCUGCUUUUGUUUUACAAUAGCAAAGUUGGGUAGUUGCCACAGAUAUCAUUUGGCCAGCAAAAUCUGAAAUAUUUACUAUGUGAACCUUUACAGAAAAGUUUGCCCAUCCUUGUUCUAAAGGAGUAAAGGGGAUACUAAUUUAUAAAAAUUAGCAUCCUUCCAUCUUUUUUUUCUUACACUACUCUGAGCAUUGUGCAAACUAAAUACUGUAAGGUCUUUUUAAAAACUGACCUCAAUAACUAUCUGAGGAUAAUAAAUUGGUCCUCUCUUUCUUACAUUUGAGCAGAUCAUUGGUGUGAAAAUCCCACAACACUUGGAGCUUAGCUAAGUAGAAAAGUGGCCGGGUGCAGUGGCUCAUGCCUGUAAUCCCAGCACUUUGGGAGGCCAAGGCAGGUGGACCACUGGAGAUCAAGAGUUUGAGACCAACCUGGCCAACAUGGUGAAACCCCAUCACUACUAAAAAUACAAAAAUUAGCUGGGCAUGGUGACGGGUGCCUGUAAUCUCAGCUACUUGGAAGGCUGACGCAGGAGAAUAGCUUGGAGGCGGAGGUUGCUGUGAGCCGAGAUUGCGCCACUGCACUCCAGCCUGGGCGGCAGUGAGUGAGACUCCAUCUCAAAAAAAAAAAGAAAAAGAAAAAAGAAAAGUGACCAACCUUUAGAAUGCCUGCUUAUGUGGAGUUUGUGGUCCUGGCAGGGACAAUUUAUUUCUCCCAUUCUAUCCAGUAGCUGGCUGGAAUGUGAACAUGGUGAUAAAAUACCCUACACUAUCUCAGAGGGAGUCCUCUGUAACUUUUCAGUCCAAUGCAUAGAUUCAUUUCAAACCUACUGUGUCAGACAUUGUACUGAAUGCUGGAGCUACAGGAUGAGUAAGACAGUCACCUGCUUGGAAGGUGUCCACAGCCUUAGGAUAGUUAACUAUUGUUUACCUUAAAGAGAAACUUAUUUCUUCAUCACAGCAAUGAAGUUGGGCUACAUCUUGUACCCUAAUCAGAUAUCUGUUUACUUCUGAUAGAGUCUGUAAAAUCAAAAACAAAAUUAGAAGUACAUAUAAAUUUUUUUAAAUAAAAUUACUACUGCAAACCA
Homo sapiens (human) is the source of this 2438-nucleotide long non-coding RNA. RefSeq lists it as uncharacterized. The transcript is spliced from 2 exons. NCBI's taxonomy places the organism in Eukaryota, Metazoa, Chordata, Mammalia, Primates, Hominidae. The record is from RefSeq and is a predicted model, not a curated record.